GCCGUCAGCACCGCGGACAGCUCCGGGCGUGCGGCGGCGCCGGGACGGCGACCCCAGCACCUCCCCCGCGCCCGGUCCCUACCUGUCGUCGUUCUGGAAGGACGGGUCGCCCAGCAGCAGGUCCCGGAAGCGGUAGCGCGGCGGCAAGGGCAGCACCUCGGAGUCCAGGAAGAGUGUGAAGAUGUAACCAGACAGCAUGCCUGAGGCACGCGGAACAGGGCCUGCAGGUGAGUGCUUCAGCUACAGCAGGUGUAGCGUGGCCAGCAGUUUGGCUGAGCUCUUAUGGACAAAGGCUAUGACCCAGGGUGGCCGGCGCCCAGCAUGCCCCCUCCGCCCAGCUGAGGCCCAUCAGAGAGCUCAGGCUUGGGACACUGACUUUUGGAAUCCAUCUGGAGAGGCCAAGAAUGAGCGAGGCAGUCCACACCUGGGCACGGCAACAGGAAGUCCCUGUCAGCUGUUUGGUGCACACGUAGUCACGUGCACUGACCCUGACAACCCCGUCAGAGGGGAGCCCGGCAGCUGUGCUCAGUGCCAGCUGCCAUGGACUGAGAGCCAGCUGCACGCCAGGCACCCUGGCAAGCCAGGUGGUGGCAUGGAAUCCUGAGAACAGUUCUCAGAAGCCAGUCUCCAUCCCUAGUUCCUGGCAAGGACAAGUGGCUCCCAGAGCCCAAGGAGCGUCACUGAGGUCCUGGCAGAGGCACUGGGGUGGGGGCCAGGUCCAGGUUCACCUCGGGCUGUGCUGCCUUUGGCCAGCUGGGGGGCUCUUCUGAUAGCCGGGAGUGCCUGCUUCUCACUCCCCCUGCAUCUGUUCCCGGUGGCCAUGGAGCCAGGGCUGUCUGACAAAGUGCUUAAAGACAAGCUUCUCCCACCAAAGGCUCUGGGCAUUCCCAUUCCAGUUGGGAAUGUGAGGCUGCCCUUGCCAUCAUAAAGGAGGCCUCAUCUGUGCACUGCUGCGAGAAAAAGGAUAAAAGCAAGGAGUCAUGAAGGGGGCUCUGUUUGGAGUUGGCAUGAUUGCUUACUGGAAAACCCAAGAGGAAUCAACUGAAAACCUACUAGAGCAAAUACGGAACCUAGUACGGCGGCCAACCCAGGAGCACCACGGAGAGCAGGAGCAGAGAGCCACCGGGAGAAAGCCCUGCUCACAGCAGGCGCGGGAGCCCCAAACCCACAGGGGCGCACGGCGUUCCCGAGAGAUGGACUGGAAGCUGUCGCUGGCGGAAGACGGAGGUCUUCUUCCUGAGGGUCUAACAGUCCCUUCUCCAAACACACGGGUAAAGGGAAUCGCCGCCAAUCAAGAGCGCAUCACUAUUUUCUCAGAAUUUGAUGAACUGUUUCAAAAAUUAAUCCUGAAGACUAUACUUGCAAGAACAGCCACAGCAGUUGUGAAAAGGAACAGAGAGGGCCCUCGUCUUCUGCUGCCAGCACCAAUGUCCAGCCACAGCAGCUGACACUCUGCGGUCUGGCCCAAGAAAAGACAGAGAGUGGGGAGACACAGCAGAGUGCCUUGACCAGCUGAAGCCCACGUUGGAAUCCAGGCUUGAGAAAGGAGGCGGGGGGCACUCCUCGUCCUAUGGUAUUGGAACGAGUGCAGCUCCACCUGUCCUGACUCAAGUCACGGUUGCAAAUAUCAGGAGGGGCGACAUCCUUCCCAUUGUGUUGAUGGAGAAAUGGAGGCCGGAGAACUUCAGAAACGCACUUGACCUUGUUCCUUAUUUGUCCUUGUUUAUCACUUGUCCCCUUGCCUUGGGAGGGCCAGUGCUUGAACCCAGUACCUGGCUCCAGCCUAUGCUAUGCAGUGUCUUCUGUUGGAUAAAAUAAGAUUAGACCCCAUGCUGCAGCCCCAAACCAAGGACAAGAUGGAAAAAAAAUACAGGGAAAAGUGUUCAGAGCUGAGAAGGCCUUUUAUUUAAUACACAAAACCCAAAAAUCAUCUAUUCCAAGAGGAAUAGAUUUAUAAAGGCUUCUACAUCUGAACAAAACACUGCUGUUCAACAAAAGACAUCACUGGCAAAAGGAAAGAAUAAGCGACCAACAGGAAGAACAUAUUUGCAACAGAAUAAUCAUCGGAACACAGCCUGGUGCCUACAGGUCCCGUGGAAAGGAAAACAAUCUAGCAGAAAACAUGGCCGGGUGCAGUGGCUCAAGCCUGUCAUCCCAGCACUUUGGGAGGCCAAGGUGGGUGGAUCACCUGAGGUCAGGAGUUUGAGACCAGCCUGGCUAACAUGGUGAAACCCCAUCUCUACUAAAAAUACAAAAAUUAGCUGGUUGUGGUGGCACACACCUAUAAUCCCAGCUACUCGGGAGGCUGAGGCAGGAGAAUUGUUGGAACCCAGGAGGCGGAGGUUGCAGUGAGCUGAGAUCGCACCACUGCACUCCAGCCUGGGUGACAGAGCGAGACUCCGUCUCAAAAAAGAAAACGACUCAAAGGAUGGAUGAGUGAGGUUCAAAGAAGAGGAACGGAAAACAACGCACAAGUAAAGACAAGCCACCUAGCUAAUAAUUAGAGAGAUGCAGAGUUGGACGGUCUCCUGCGCCAGUGAUCGGCUGUGGUUACAGAACAGGGGGUUCUGCAAGCCAGGGCUCUCGUGUAGUGUCCAGCCGACUGGGAGCAGUGGAUUAAUUAUGAUGGAAUCAUGGGUCCUCUCCAACUUGGAACCUCUACCUGGGGACAUUUUUGAUCUGUGUCCGAGGAGGCCCAGGCAUGGAUUUUCAUCAUGGCCUCAUGUGUGAAGGUGAACACUGAAAACAGCCUGCACGUCCCUGAACUGAGGAGCGACUGACAGCUACAGCCAAGACUGCUCUGUGAAGGCACAGGUCUCUGUGAGCCUGCGUGAGCCCGCGUGGAUGCAUCACUACACAAACAGAAUGACAUAUAAUGAACCCCAUUUAAAAACUAAACACGACCGCUUUCCACAGAACCCUAAAGAAGAGGUGGGUUUCUCGGGGCACCCAGCUUGUAGGUGAUAUAGAGACUGUCCCCACACACUGGCAGCCACAGUGCUGGGGGCAGGGUGGGGUUCUAGGGCAGCGUCUCACCCAUUGUGCUUUGCAAAGUGAAUACAUCAUGCACGACGUGUGUUAUGGCAAACGGAACAGCUAAGGGCUAAAGAUGUCCUUCCCUAAACUCCAGCAUCACCAGGCCCUUAUUUCUGCCCCGGGUGGGGCUCAGAAAGAAGCAAGGAGCCUGCCUCUCAGGAUCAGCAUAGGAAGUCCUGGAUAAAAUGUCCUUUCCCGCAAAGACUUCUCUUAACAUUGCUUGUGGUCCAGCAUGGUGCCUCACGCCUGUAAUUCCAGCACUCUGGGAGCCCGAGGUAGGCAGAUCACUUGAGCCCAGGAGUUCCUGACCACCCUGGGCAACAUGGCAAAAACCUUGCUUUACAAAAAAUAACAAAAGUUAUCCAGGCAUGGUGCCUGUAGUUCCAGCUACUCAGGAGGCUGAAGUGGGAGGAUCAUUUAAGCCCAUGAGGUUGAGGCUGCGGUGAGCCAUGACUGCGCCACUGCACUCCAGCUUGGGUGACAGAGCUAGAUUCUGUCUGAAACAACAACAACAACAAAAGAUUGUGACUGUCUUUGGCUAAGGGAAUGAGGUUUCUCUCCUAAAAUACAUUCUUGUUCACACUCAGUUCAAAAUUUCCAGGAGCUGGGCGAGCCAUGUUUGACAGAGAAGUUAGGGAGGAGGGAGAUGAGCACAUGUAAGCACGUAAAUACGCACAUGCAUGCUGAUGUGUGUGUAAAUGAGCAUGUAUGUGCAUGCAGAGGCAUGUGUACGAAUAUGUGCAUGCAUGUGUGGAUGGGAUUGCAUGCAUGCAUGUAUAAUGUGCAUGUAUGCAUACAUGUACAUGGGCAUAUGUAUACAUGUGCACAUGUGGACAUGUGUGCAUGCACAUGGAUCUGUGUGCAUGUGCCUGUAUGUGUGUGGGCAUCCCUACCCUGCAUCCAGGAGAGUCCCCCAGGCAGGCAUAGCAUCACUGUGGUGGGGGCGUCUGAGUGCUGGGCUUAGUGUCCAGCAAGUGCAAAGCUGCAGAACCUCUCUGCUGACCAUGGCAGAAAACUCAACGCUUCCUUUGCACAAUGAUUAAAAAGUCAGAGCUGCUCGAGAUGCCCAGGCAGCUGGGCAGGCAAGCGUCCUCGGUGACGUCUCUCUUUAGGGGAGGGGCUUCUUGCCCAUGCGAGGGUGGCUGCUCAGCACCAUCUCCUGAGAUGCUUUAGGAUCCAAAGUGAAAGCUCAGAACACAUGGAGGAGCCGAAAUCAAGCUGCAGAUUUAUCCAGACAGACUUCAGAGCAGCUUUCUCCCAGCCCGGCGGGAAGAGGGGAAGGCCAGCAGCACAGUGGACACAGGGGCCCCAGGCGAGGCUGUGGGGGCCAUCACCCCUGGACCCGUGCCCAAGGUUGUCGGGGGAGGCAGAAGCCUGGGCUUGGGCCAGACGCCAGGCGAGCUCUUCUGCUGUCCCCACCCCCUGCAGCAGGCAGCAGUGUGCUGGUCACUCAGGGCCAGAUGGCAAGUCCAUCUCAGGGUCCUGGGUGCCCAGGACCCUUGGCUGGUCCUUCUCACAGGCCACACCCUGUUCUCCAGCUGCAUCGGCUCACAGCCCCUGCCCCCGGCCACGCUGUGGCUGCUGGGAGAUGCUUGGUGACUGCACACGUCAGCUGUCAGUACCCUCGAGCUGAGCUGGCUGCUGGGGGCAAUGGUGAUCAUAGCAAGGAGCACAGCCUGGAGCCGGCAGGGGACCCUUGGGGACAGCCCUGCUAGGGUGGACAGCCUGAGGGUGGGGAGGCCGUGGUGGGGGCUGCACCUGAAGAAGAAGCCGCCCCUCUCCCACAGCUAUGGGAGGCACCACCAUGCC
RNAcentral lists this long non-coding RNA (4845 nucleotides) under Pan troglodytes (chimpanzee). RNAcentral describes it as "long non-coding RNA NONPTRT017998". The record is from RNAcentral. Lineage: Eukaryota; Metazoa; Chordata; Mammalia; Primates; Hominidae.